UUCAAGUUGGUGCAACUUUUG
Molecule: non-coding RNA, 21 nt
Filed under: Arabidopsis thaliana (thale cress)
Lineage: Eukaryota; Viridiplantae; Streptophyta; Magnoliopsida; Brassicales; Brassicaceae
Source: RNAcentral